GAUGAACGCUGGCGGCGUGCUUAACACAUGCAAGUCGAACGAAGCUGCUUAACUGAUCUUCUUCGGAAUUGACGUUUUGUAGACUGAGUGGCGGACGGGUGAGUAACGCGUGGGUAACCUGCCCUGUACAGGGGGAUAACAGUCAGAAAUGACUGCUAAUACCGCAUAAGACCACAGCACCGCAUGGUGCAGGGGUAAAAACUCCGGUGGUACAGGAUGGACCCGCGUCUGAUUAGCUGGUUGGUGAGGUAACGGCUCACCAAGGCGACGAUCAGUAGCCGGCUUGAGAGAGUGAACGGCCACAUUGGGACUGAGACACGGCCCAAACUCCUACGGGAGGCAGCAGUGGGGAAUAUUGCACAAUGGGGGAAACCCUGAUGCAGCGACGCCGCGUGAGUGAAGAAGUAUCUCGGUAUGUAAAGCUCUAUCAGCAGGGAAGAAAAUGACGGUAC
Molecule: ribosomal RNA, 452 nt
Filed under: uncultured bacterium
Lineage: Bacteria
Description: bacterial SSU rRNA
Rfam family: Bacterial small subunit ribosomal RNA
Source: RNAcentral